UACGAAGGGGGCUAGCGUUGUUCGGAAUUACUGGGCGUAAAGCGCGCGCAGGUGGUCUUUCAAGUCAGUGGUGAAAGCCCGGAGCUCAACUCCGGAAAUGCCAUUGAAACUGUGAGACUUGAGGACGAGAGAGGUGAGUGGAAUUCCCAGUGUAGAGGUGAAAUUCGUAGAUAUUGGGAAGAACACCGGUGGCGAAGGCGGAUCUCUGGGCCUGUCCUGACGCUCAGGCGCGAAAGCUAGGGGAGCAAACAGG
This 253-nucleotide ribosomal RNA is filed under the name uncultured bacterium. RNAcentral's name for it is "partial 16S ribosomal RNA". It matches the Rfam family "Bacterial small subunit ribosomal RNA", at positions 524 to 776 of the family's 1533-position model. The record is from RNAcentral.